RNAcentral lists this long non-coding RNA (238 nucleotides) under Lathyrus oleraceus (garden pea). RNAcentral's name for it is "Pisum sativum (pea) long non-coding RNA (PSAT_LNC017643)". Lineage: Eukaryota; Viridiplantae; Streptophyta; Magnoliopsida; Fabales; Fabaceae. The record is from RNAcentral.
UCAUUCUUUUUCUUUUUCUUUUUCUUUAUUUCAAUUAAAAUCAUCAGAUUCUUUAUUUUUAAAAGAGUUUUAAAAAUAAUAAAAAAUAUAAAUAAAUUACAUAAAUUUAAACUAAAUAUUCAAAUAAUCCUCAUUAAUUUCACCGACUAUUUUGGCUAAACAACAAAAAUAAAUGGAUAAAUAAAAAGAAUAAAAAUCGGGAAAAAAAAUACUCGAAAAAAAAACUGAACUCAUUAAA